RNAcentral lists this long non-coding RNA (289 nucleotides) under Hordeum vulgare. RNAcentral's name for it is "long non-coding RNA (HVUL_LNC015073)". The record is from RNAcentral. Lineage: Eukaryota; Viridiplantae; Streptophyta; Magnoliopsida; Poales; Poaceae.
GGACUAGGAGUAUCAUCAUUAAUUCUUUGAGAAUCCUGUUCUAUUCUUUUAGGAUGACCUUCGGGAAAAAGGGGUUCCUGAGUCAUUUUACCUUCUCUAGUCAUUACUCUAACAACAUGAUCAUUAAUGGUAUUCAUAUCAGCAAGCAAAUCAUUUUGUGACUUAGCUACUUGAUCUAGUUGAGUGUGAACCAUAGAGGCAAGUUUACCCAGACCCUUCACAUAAUUAGCAAUUCUAAAGAUUAAGUCACUUAAGAGGUCUAUCAUCAUGGCAUUAUUACUCAAUUGAU